UUAUGUAAACGGUCUAGUAGACUAUGUAGUAUCUACCAUUCACGUAUCAGGUUUGGUUAUGUAAACGGUCUAGUAGACUAUGUAGUAUCUACCAUUCACGUAUCAGGUUUGGUUAUGUAAACGGUCUAGUAGACUAUGUAGUAUCUACCAUUCACGUAUCAGGUUUGGUUAUGUAAACGGUCUAGUAGACUAUGUAGUAUCUACCAUUCACGUAUCAGGUUUGGUUAUGUAAACGGUCUAGUAGACUAUGUAGUAUCUACCAUUCACGUAUCAGGUUUGGUUAUGUAAAUGGUCUAGUAGACUAUGUAGUAUCUACCAUUCACGUAUCAGGUUUGGUUAUGUAAACAGUCUAGUAGACUAUGUAGUAUCUACCAUUCACGUAUCAGGUUUGGUUAUGUAAACGGUCUAGUAGACUAUGUAGUAUCUACCAUUCACGUAUCAGGUUUGGUUAUGUAAACGGUCUAGUAGACUAUGUAGUAUCUACCAUUCACGUAUCAGGUUUGGUUAUGUAAACGGUCUAGUAGACUAUGUAGUAUCUACCAUUCACGUAUCAGGUUUGGUUAUGUAAAUGGUCUAGUAGACUAUGUAGUAUCUACCAUUCACGUAUCAGGUUUGGUUAUGUAAAUGGUCUAGUAGACUAUGUAGUAUCUACCAUUCACGUAUCAGGUUUGGUUAUGUAAACAGUCUAGUAGACUAUGUAGUAUCUACCAUUCACGUAUCAGGUUUGGUUAUGUAAACGGUCUAGUAGACUAUGUAGUAUCUACCAUUCACGUAUCAGGUUUGGUUAUGUAAACGGUCUAGUAGACUAUGUAGUAUCUACCAUUCACGUAUCAGGUUUGGUUAUGUAAACAGUCUAGUAGACUAUGUAGUAUCUACCAUUCACGUAUCAGGUUUGGUUAUGUAAAUGGUCUAGUAGACUAUGUAGUAUCUACCAUUCACGUAUCAGGUUUGGUUAUGUAAAUGGUCUAGUAGACUAUGUAGUAUCUACCAUUCACGUAUCAGGUUUGGUUAUGUAAAUGGUCUAGUAGACUAUGUAGUAUCUACCAUUCACGUAUCAGGUUUGGUUAUGUAAACGGUCUAGUAGACUAUGUAGUAUCUACCAUUCACGUAUCAGGUUUGGUUAUGUAAACGGUCUAGUAGACUAUGUAGUAUCUACCAUUCACGUAUCAGGUUUGGUUAUGUAAAUGGUCUAGUAGACUAUGUAGUAUCUACCAUUCACGUAUCAGGUUUGGUUAUGUAAACGGUCUAGUAGACUAUGUAGUAUCUACCAUUCACGUAUCAGGUUUGGUUAUGUAAAUGGUCUAGUAGACUAUGUAGUAUCUACCAUUCACGUAUCAGGUUUGGUUAUGUAAACGGUCUAGUAGACUAUGUAGUAUCUACCAUUCACGUAUCAGGUUUGGUUAUGUAAACGGUCUAGUAGACUAUGUAGUAUCUACCAUUCACGUAUCAGGUUUGGUUAUGUAAACGGUCUAGUAGACUAUGUAGUAUCUACCAUUCACGUAUCAGGUUUGGUUAUGUAAACGGUCUAGUAGACUAUGUAGUAUCUACCAUUCACGUAUCAGGUUUGGUUAUGUAAAUGGUCUAGUAGACUAUGUAGUAUCUACCAUUCACGUAUCAGGUUUGGUUAUGUAAACAGUCUAGUAGACUAUGUAGUAUCUACCAUUCACGUAUCAGGUUUGGUUAUGUAAACGGUCUAGUAGACUAUGUAGUAUCUACCAUUCACGUAUCAGGUUUGGUUAUGUAAAUGGUCUAGUAGACUAUGUAGUAUCUACCAUUCACGUAUCAGGUUUGGUUAUGUAAAUGGUCUAGUAGACUAUGUAGUAUCUACCAUUCACGUAUCAGGUUUGGUUAUGUAAACAGUCUAGUAGACUAUGUAGUAUCUACCAUUCACGUAUCAGGUUUGGUUAUGUAAACGGUCUAGUAGACUAUGUAGUAUCUACCAUUCACGUAUCAGGUUUGGUUAUGUAAAUGGUCUAGUAGACUAUGUAGUAUCUACCAUUCACGUAUCAGGUUUGGUUAUGUAAAUGGUCUAGUAGACUAUGUAGUAUCUACCAUUCACGUAUCAGGUUUGGUUCCAUCCGAUGAUACUUUGUGGGUCAGUGUUUUGGUUUAGGUGCACUGCUUAAACACCAAGUUAUUGGCAUUGUAUAUUUGAAUAUUUACUAUGUCUAAAAACGCUACCAAAUCAGUUAUUCUAGUACAUACAAAAAGCUGAAACAUUUGGUAAGAAUAUUUAU
This is a long non-coding RNA of Oncorhynchus keta (chum salmon), 2237 nucleotides long. RefSeq lists it as uncharacterized. The record is from RefSeq and is a predicted model, not a curated record. Lineage: Eukaryota; Metazoa; Chordata; Actinopteri; Salmoniformes; Salmonidae. The transcript is spliced from 3 exons.